ACGGGGGCUCGCAAGAGCAACCGGCGAACGGGUGCGUAACACGUGAGCAAUCUGCCGAUGUCUGGGGGAUAGCCGGCCCAACGGCCGGGUAAUACCGCAUACGUUCUCUUGUGGACAUCCACGGGAGAAGAAACCUCCGGGGGACAUCGAGGAGCUCGCGGCCUAUCAGCUAGUUGGCGGGGUAAUGGCCCACCAAGGCGGCGACGGGUAGCUGGUCUGAGAGGAUGGCCAGCCACAUUGGGACUGAGAGACGGCCCAGACUCCUACGGGAGGCAGCAGUGGGGAAUCUUGCGCAAUGGUCGAACGACUGACGCAGCGACGCCGCGUGUGGGAGGACGCCCUUCGGGGUGUAAACCACUGUUGCCCGGGACGAACCUCCUCUUUCGAGAGGACUGACGGUACCGGGUGAGGAAGCACCGGCUAACUCCGUGCCAGCAGCCGCGGUAAU
Molecule: ribosomal RNA, 448 nt
Filed under: uncultured bacterium
Lineage: Bacteria
Description: bacterial SSU rRNA
Rfam family: Bacterial small subunit ribosomal RNA
Source: RNAcentral